GUAAAGUUACCAACAAAUGGCUCCAAGAUUGACACCUGACUUGGGGUGACAUAGUCUACUCUAGAAACUCUAAUACUAGUAGCAGAUAACCAAGACCACUAGCCCAAAUAUUUUAUUUGUUGCAAUAGACUAGUUCCCUCCCGCCCUUUUUAUUUUCACCAAAUUUUCAAUUCCCACUAUUACAAAAAUUCCUCUUUCUCUUUCGUAUUCUCUAAAUCCAACAUUUUUCACAAAAUCAAAAUCUGAGUUUGCCAAGGAAAGAAGAAGAAACCAAAGCAAGAAAACAAAGAAAGGUAAAGCAAUGGAGGCAUUAAGAUUAUGGAGCCUAACAACGUCACAGCCAUUGAGGCAGCUCUUUCACCUCGCAACCUCUACCACCACCACCAACUUCUCUACUAGGCUUGUUCUUAGGUGUUCCUCUGCCACUACUAGCACGACCGAAGGCCACAACCAUCAAUCUUCAUCUUCAUCUUGUUCUUUGUCUUCUUCCUCUUCCACUUCAGAUAGAGAUGUCAUUCACACCAUUCACUUAAAGAAGUUGAUCUCCCAGCACAAGAAAGAGAAAGGGUAACCUUUGUUAAGAGCACCACUAAAAGAAGGAGGUUCAUCCUUACUUAACCCCUCCAUCCUCUUUCCCCUUCUUGCUGUGUUGGCCAUUGGAGAUGCUGCCUCUUAAAUUUCUUGUUUUCACAUACUAAAAGUUUGUGUGAUGAUUAUAGCAUGAGUUUCUUACAAAUUUUUAUUGUUGUUAGGGUGGCAAUCAAUCAAGUGGCUUUUGAUUAAGGCAUGGUUAACACUUUUUUGGAGGCUGAACAAGUGAUUUGUAUUUAAAGCAUGAAUAGUCAUUUUUUUGGAGGUUGAACUAGUUGUAUAUUGAUGCUUUGAGAUAAUGAAUUUAUGUGGUUGUAUAUAAAUUCAACAAGUUGUAUAUAUAUAUAGUAUGGAUGAAGUAUUAUACA
Long non-coding RNA from Quercus robur (English oak), 959 nucleotides. RefSeq lists it as uncharacterized. The record is from RefSeq and is a predicted model, not a curated record. The transcript has 2 exons. Lineage: Eukaryota; Viridiplantae; Streptophyta; Magnoliopsida; Fagales; Fagaceae.